AUCCAAGCCCGGGCCCCUCUGGCAGUUCAGUCGAACUGCGAUGUCGGAUUGGACUU
Non-coding RNA from Bradyrhizobium lablabi, 56 nucleotides. Lineage: Bacteria; Pseudomonadati; Pseudomonadota; Alphaproteobacteria; Hyphomicrobiales; Nitrobacteraceae. The record is from Rfam.